This 853-nucleotide ribosomal RNA is filed under the name Nigrospora sphaerica. Its description in RNAcentral is "eukaryotic LSU rRNA". It matches the Rfam family "Eukaryotic large subunit ribosomal RNA", at positions 66 to 946 of the family's 3401-position model. The record is from RNAcentral. Lineage: Eukaryota; Fungi; Ascomycota; Sordariomycetes; Amphisphaeriales; Apiosporaceae.
CAACAGGGAUUCCCCUAGUAACGGCGAGUGAAGCGGGAACAGCUCAAAUUUGAAAUCUGGCCCUCGGGUCCGAGUUGUAAUUUGUAGAGGAUGCUUUUGGUGCGGUGCCUUCCGAGUUCCCUGGAACGGGACGCCUUAGAGGGUGAGAGCCCCGUACGGUUGGACGCCUAGCCUCUGUAAAGCUCCUUCGACGAGUCGAGUAGUUUGGGAAUGCUGCUCUAAAUGGGAGGUAUAUUUCUUCUAAAGCUAAAUACUGGCCAGAGACCGAUAGCGCACAAGUAGAGUGAUCGAAAGAUGAAAAGCACUUUGAAAAGAGGGUUAAAUAGCACGUGAAAUUGUUGAAAGGGAAGCGUUUAUCACCAGACUUUUUCUAGGGGGAUCAUCCGGUGUUCUCACCGGUGCACUUCCCCUGGUUGAGGCCAGCAUCGGUUUUCGGAGGGGGAUAAAAGCUUCGGGAAUGUGACUCCCUCGGGAGUGUUAUAGCCCGUUGCAUAAUACCCUUCUGGGGACCGAGGUUCGCGCAUCUGCAAGGAUGCUGGCAUAAUGGUGAUCAACGACCCGUCUUGAAACACGGACCAAGGAGUCGAACAUUUAUGCGAGUGUUUGGGUGUCAAACCCUCACGCGUAAUGAAAGUGAACGGAGGUGAGAGCCCUUACGGGUGCAUCAUCGACCGAUCCUGAUGUCUUCGGAUGGAUUUGAGUAAGAGCAUAACUGUUCGGACCCGAAAGAUGGUGAACUAUGCGUGGAUAGGGUGAAGCCAGGAGAAAUCCUGGUGGAGGCUCGCAGCGGUUCUGACGUGCAAAUCGAUCGUCAAAUCUGCGCAUGGGGGCGAAAGACUAAUCGAACCAUCUA